GAUGAAGAACGUAGCGAAAUGCGAUAAGUAAUGUGAAUUGCAGAAUUCAGUGAAUCAUCGAAUCUUUGAACGCACAUUGUGCCCCCUGGUAUUCCGGGGGGCAUGCCUGUUCGAGCGUCAUUUCACCACUCAAGCCUCGCUUGGUAUUGGGCAACGCGGUCCGCCGCGUGCCUCAAAUCGACCGGCUGGGUCUUCUGUCCCCUAAGCGUUGUGGAAACUAUUCGCUAAAGGGUGUUCGGGAGGCUACGCCGUAAAACAACCCCAUUUCUAAGGUUGACCUCGGAUCAGGUAGGGAUACCCGCUGAACUUAAGCAUAUCAAUAAGCGGAGGA
RNAcentral lists this unclassified non-coding RNA (331 nucleotides) under soil metagenome. RNAcentral's name for it is "partial contains 5.8S ribosomal RNA, internal transcribed spacer 2, and large subunit ribosomal RNA". The stretch from base 1 to 120 matches the Rfam family "5.8S ribosomal RNA", at positions 35 to 154 of the family's 154-position model. The record is from RNAcentral.